This is a long non-coding RNA of Artibeus jamaicensis (Jamaican fruit-eating bat), 679 nucleotides long. RefSeq lists it as uncharacterized. The record is from RefSeq and is a predicted model, not a curated record. NCBI's taxonomy places the organism in Eukaryota, Metazoa, Chordata, Mammalia, Chiroptera, Phyllostomidae. The transcript has 3 exons.
UCGUCAGCCUGGCCUUCGCUGCUCUUUACAGAAAGAGAGGAAUCUGUGCUUCAGAGAGACUGUUUUGAACUCUCUUACCCUGCCUGAGGGUAGUGGAGCCAGUAAUUCCAAUCCUUCCAUUGUCUCUCCUUCAGGGACACUCUGAAGUUCUUCAUUUUGUCAAAGGCAGAAACAAUCAAACCACUUCUUAGCUAAUAAAGCUAUUCACGGGGCCACCCACCUGAACUCAGCAGGAAACAAUGUUUUCGUGUGACUCGCCCAUUUCCACUUCGAUGGGAUAACCAAGAGAAAAGGAUAUGCACGGGUUCCUCUACCUGCCUCCUUUGUGAUGCUCAGGUAAUUACAUCACUUUUGGUCCUGGUGUGAAAAUGCCUGCCACAUACUCCAUCUGUCCGCAGAUUAAGACGUGCCUACACCCUAAGUGAUAAUGUUGUCUUAGAAAUUUAAAAGAUCAAGUGCCAUGUUGAAGGCAAGCAGGUAAAACUACUAAAAUGCAGAAAAAGAUUUGUGCAGUGGAGGACAAGGUGCUGUGGUGGAUUGAGUGUGCCCGAAGUGGUUUGCGAAGUUUCAUCCUGGAAAGUUCCUGCAGGACGAUGCUCCAUGGUCAGGUGGACCAGCUGAAGCUGAUGGUGAUCAAGUUGAGACAUUAAUUAAGAACAAGAGCCAACAUACUCAAAAU